UACGUAGGGUGCGAGCGUUAAUCGGAAUUACUGGGCGUAAAGCGUGCGCAGGCGGUGAGUUAAGUCUGAUGUGAAAGCCCCGGGCUCAACCUGGGAAUGGCAUUGGAAACUGGCUCGCUGGAGUGUGGCAGAGGGGGGUGGAAUUCCGCGUGUAGCAGUGAAAUGCGUAGAGAUGCGGAGGAACACCGAUGGCGAAGGCAGCCCCCUGGGCCAACACUGACGCUCAUGCACGAAAGCGUGGGGAGCAAACAGG
Molecule: ribosomal RNA, 253 nt
Filed under: uncultured bacterium
Lineage: Bacteria
Description: partial 16S ribosomal RNA
Rfam family: Bacterial small subunit ribosomal RNA
Source: RNAcentral